This 1166-nucleotide ribosomal RNA is filed under the name Fructobacillus fructosus. Its description in RNAcentral is "bacterial SSU rRNA". It matches the Rfam family "Bacterial small subunit ribosomal RNA", at positions 155 to 1309 of the family's 1533-position model. The record is from RNAcentral. Lineage: Bacteria; Bacillati; Bacillota; Bacilli; Lactobacillales; Lactobacillaceae.
AACAGUGACUAAUACCGGAUAAAACCCAAGUGCACAUGCACUAAGGUUAAAAGCUGCGUUUGCAGCGCUUUAAGAUGGAUUCGCGGUGCAUUAGUUAGUUGGUGAGGUAAAGGCUCACCAAGACGAUGAUGCAUAGCCGAGUUGAGAGACUGACCGGCCACAUUGGGACUGAGACACGGCCCAAACUCCUACGGGAGGCUGCAGUAGGGAAUCUUCCACAAUGGGCGCAAGCCUGAUGGAGCAACGCCGCGUGUGUGAUGAAGGCUUUCGGGUCGUAAAGCACUGUUGUAUGGGAAGAACGGGUUUAAGAGGAAAUGCUUAGACAGUGACGGUACCAUACCAGAAAGGGACGGCUAAAUACGUGCCAGCAGCCGCGGUAAUACGUAUGUCCCGAGCGUUAUCCGGAUUUAUUGGGCGUAAAGCGAGCGCAGACGGUUGCUUAAGUCUGAAGUGAAAGCCCACAGCUCAACUGUGGAAUGGCUUUGGAAACUGGGCAACUUGAGUACAGUAGAGGUAAGUGGAACUCCAUGUGUAGCGGUGGAAUGCGUAGAUAUAUGGAAGAACACCAGUGGCGAAGGCGGCUUACUGGACUGCAACUGACGUUGAGGCUCGAAAGUGUGGGUAGCAAACAGGAUUAGAUACCCUGGUAGUCCACACCGUAAACGAUGGAUACUAGUUGUUAGAGGGUUUCCGCCCUUUAGUGACGAAGCAAACGCAUUAAGUAUCCCGCCUGGGGAGUACGACCGCAAGGUUGAAACUCAAAGGAAUUGACGGGGACCCGCACAAGCGGUGGAGCAUGUGGUUUAAUUCGAAGCAACGCGAAGAACCUUACCAGGUCUUGACAUCCUUUGAAGGUACUAGAGAUAGUACUGUCUUCUUCGGAAGCAAAGUGACAGGUGGUGCAUGGCCGUCGUCAGCUCGUGUCGUGAGAUGUUGGGUUAAGUCCCGCAACGAGCGCAACCCUUAUGUUUAGUUGCCAGCAUUCAGUUGGGCACUCUAGACAGACUGCCGGUGACAAACCGGAGGAAGGCGGGGACGACGUCAGGUCAUCAUGCCCCUUAUGACCUGGGCUACACACGUGCUACAAUGGCGUAUACAACGAGCAGCAAACCUGUGAAGGUAAGCGAAUCUCUUAAAGUACGUCUCAGUUCGGAUUGUAGUCUGCA